This 468-nucleotide ribosomal RNA is filed under the name uncultured bacterium. RNAcentral describes it as "partial 16S ribosomal RNA". It matches the Rfam family "Bacterial small subunit ribosomal RNA", at positions 28 to 507 of the family's 1533-position model. The record is from RNAcentral.
GACGAACGCUGGCGGCGUGCUUAACACAUGCAAGUCGAACGGAAAGGCCCUGCUUUUGUGGGGUGCUCGCGUGGCGAACGGGUGAGUAACCCGUGAGUAACCUGCCCUUUACUUUGGGAUAACUUCAGGAAACUGGGGCUAAUACCGGAUAGGAGCUCCUGCUGCAUGGUGGGGGUUGGAAAGUUUCGGCGGUUGGGGAUGGACUCGCGGCUUAUCAGCUUGUUGGUGGGGUAGUGGCUUACCAAGGCUUUGACGGGUAGCCGGCCUGAGAGGGUGACCGGCGACAUUGGGACUGAGAGACGGACCAGACGCGUACGGGAGGCAGCAGGGGGGAAUAUUGCACAAUGGGCGGAAGCCUGAUGAAGCAACGCCGCGUGCGGGAUGAAGGCCUUGGGGGUGUAAACCGCUUUAGCCUGUGACGAAGCGUGAGUGACGGUAAUGGGUAAAGAAGCACCGGCUAACUACGUG